AAGAAAGUGUCAGAGCGGUUAUGUGGUUGGCUUGAAACCAACUUAUGGGGGUUCAACUCCUCCCUUUCUCG
Molecule: transfer RNA, 71 nt
Filed under: Tridentiger bifasciatus (Shimofuri goby)
Lineage: Eukaryota; Metazoa; Chordata; Actinopteri; Gobiiformes; Gobiidae
Description: tRNA-Ser
Rfam family: tRNA
About the family: Transfer RNA (tRNA) molecules are approximately 80 nucleotides in length.
Source: RNAcentral